RNAcentral lists this ribosomal RNA (253 nucleotides) under uncultured bacterium. RNAcentral's name for it is "partial 16S ribosomal RNA". It matches the Rfam family "Bacterial small subunit ribosomal RNA", at positions 524 to 776 of the family's 1533-position model. The record is from RNAcentral.
GACGUAGGGGGCGAGCGUUGUCCGGAUUCAUUGGGCGUAAAGCGCGCGCAGGCGGCUCGGAUAGUCGGGUGUGAAAACCCGGGGCUCAACCCCGGGCCUGCAUUCGAUACUGCCGGGCUAGAGGCAGGUAGGGGAGAGUGGAAUUCCUGGUGUAGCGGUGAAAUGCGCAGAUAUCAGGAAGAACACCAAUGGCGAAGGCAGCUCUCUGGGACGGUACUGACGCUGAGACGCGAAAGCGUGGGGAGCGAACAGG